RNAcentral lists this ribosomal RNA (497 nucleotides) under uncultured bacterium. RNAcentral describes it as "partial 16S ribosomal RNA". It matches the Rfam family "Bacterial small subunit ribosomal RNA", at positions 28 to 507 of the family's 1533-position model. The record is from RNAcentral.
GAUGAACGCUGGCGGCGUGCCUAACACAUGCAAGUCGAGCGAACAGACGAGGAUCUUGCUCCUCUGACGUUAGCGGCGGACGGGUGAGUCACACGUGUAUAACCUACCUAUAAGACUGGGAUAACUUCGGGAAACCGGAGAUAACCCCGGAUAAUAUCUUGAACCGCAUUGUUCAUUGGAGAAAGACGGUUUUGCUGUCACUUAUAGAUGGUUCCGAGCUGCAUUAGCUAGUUGGUAAGGUUACGGCUUUCCAAGGCGACGCUGCGUAGCCGACCUGAGAGGGUGGUCGGCCAACCUGGAACUUGAACACGGUCCAGACUCCUGCGGGAAGCAGCAGUAGGGAAUCUUCCGCAAUGGGCGGAAGCCUUACGGAGCAGCGGCGCGUGAGUGGUGGAGGGCCUCGGAUCGUAAAACUCUGUUAUUGGGGGAGAACAACUGUGUAAGUAACUAUGCACGUCUUGACGGUACCUAAUAAAAAAGCCACGGCUAACUACGUG